Long non-coding RNA from Sorex araneus (European shrew), 338 nucleotides. RefSeq lists it as uncharacterized. The record is from RefSeq and is a predicted model, not a curated record. Lineage: Eukaryota; Metazoa; Chordata; Mammalia; Eulipotyphla; Soricidae. The transcript is spliced from 3 exons.
AUUCUUCUGAAGCCACACCCAGUGGUGCUCAGGGCUUACUCACGGUUCUGCGCUCAGGGAUCACACCCUCCCCCCCCCUCGCUGCUAGGCUCAGAGGACCAAAUGGGAGACUGAGGAUGAAAACAGGGCUUUGUGGGUGCUACGUGAGGCGUGGAGGCAGUGAUUGGCAUGUUCCCUGGAACAGAGCGAAUGUAUCCAUGUCAUCGUGACUCCGGCUUCUUGCUGACACCCUGGCCGAGUAUCUCCCGGCGUGGCCGUUGUUUCGGGACCCCUCCCCAGCACCAGUACAAACACCCGUGCCAUGGCGCGGCAGCACUGCCAAGCCGGCUCUCACGCCA